GAAUUGACGGGGGCCCGCACAAGCGGUGGAGCAUGUGGUUUAAUUCGAUGCAACGCGAAGAACCUUACCUGGUCUUGACAUCCACGGAAGUUUUCAGAGAUGAGAAUGUGCCUUCGGGAACCGUGAGACAGGUGCUGCAUGGCUGUCGUCAGCUCGUGUUGUGAAAUGUUGGGUUAAGUCCCGCAACGAGCGCAACCCUUAUCCUUUGUUGCCAGCGGUCCGGCCGGGAACUCAAAGGAGACUGCCAGUGAUAAACUGGAGGAAGGUGGGGAUGACGUCAAGUCAUCAUGGCCCUUACGACCAGGGCUACACACGUGCUACAAUGGCGCAUACAAAGAGAAGCGACCUCGCGAGAGCAAGCGGACCUCAUAAAGUGCGUCGUAGUCCGGAUUGGAGUCUGCAACUCGACUCCAUGAAGUCGGAAUCGCUAGUAAUCGUGGAUCAGAACGCCACGGUGAAUACGUUCCCGGGCCUUGUACACACCGCCCGUCACACCAUGGGAGUGGGUUGCAAAAGAAGUAGGUAGCUUAACCUUCGGGAGGGCGCUUACCACUUUGUGA
This 560-nucleotide ribosomal RNA is filed under the name Shigella sp. RNAcentral describes it as "bacterial SSU rRNA". It matches the Rfam family "Bacterial small subunit ribosomal RNA", at positions 907 to 1467 of the family's 1533-position model. The record is from RNAcentral. Lineage: Bacteria; Pseudomonadati; Pseudomonadota; Gammaproteobacteria; Enterobacterales; Enterobacteriaceae.